GUGACCCUGCUUUGCGCGUGAUGUCAAAUGAGGCUUUGACCCAACACCCUUGUCCAGGGAGCCUGGACUCCGGAAGAGCCGUGGUUCUUCCGGGAGGGCACCCACCUUUUGGAGGACGAGGAUCAAAGCGGUUGACACACGGCAAAAGCGGGGUCACA
RNAcentral lists this non-coding RNA (158 nucleotides) under Candidatus Caldatribacterium saccharofermentans. RNAcentral's name for it is "6S RNA". It matches the Rfam family "6S / SsrS RNA". From Rfam's summary of the family: E. coli 6S RNA was the first non coding RNA to be sequenced, but its function was unknown until recently. Lineage: Bacteria; Pseudomonadati; Atribacterota; Atribacteria; Atribacterales; Candidatus Caldatribacteriaceae. The record is from RNAcentral.